Molecule: long non-coding RNA, 4196 nt
Organism: Pogona vitticeps (central bearded dragon)
Lineage: Eukaryota; Metazoa; Chordata; Lepidosauria; Squamata; Agamidae
Product: tiggrin-like
Source: Ensembl
UGAUCUCAUGCUACCUCACAAACAAGGCCAGUGCCUGAGGUGCUUAAAGGGCAACUUGCUAAGGUAGAUUCAUGUUUGACUUUACACUCAAGAUCAAGGAGCUAGAAGGAUGGUGGUUUCAGACCUGUUGUUAGCUGCAGAAAGGCUCAAAAGUGAGAAGAAGUUUCUUAGCAAUAUGAUUAUCAAACUAGUUGGGGAGAACCAGCAGCUAUUGAGAGAAAACAAGCAAUUUAGAGAACAGAUCAGAAGGCUGCAAUACCCACAGCGAUGUACGAAAAGACCAUUGGAGAAGAUGAAGAUGGAUGGUGGAAUGAAGAUCAAGAAGCCACAGGCAAUCAAGGAUCAGCAGGAGGAGCUCUGUGUUUCUAGAUUUCAUGGCUGUCACCUUGCCAAGCAUCAAGACUGUCUGAGGAAUACUAUGGCUCACCAUGGAAUGCUGCAUCAUGAUUCUGCUCUGACCUCUGCUUCUGUCAGCUGUCAUCGUCUAAGCCACGCAGCAUCUGGGCAUUGUUUGGAGCAUGAAUUAUUCAGCUAUCCAAAGAGAUGCUUGCAAUGCUGGGGAAAGAAGAUGGAAGAAAAAGGGGGAGGUUUUUUCAAGGAACAACUACAUAUGCUUGAAUUAAGAGCAGCUUUGACAGAACAAGAAAAACAUUUUGAGAGACUACAGAUGAAAAUAAAUCACUUACAAGAUGAUCUCAAGAACUCUGAGCUACGCGCUACAUUACAGGUAGAGGAGUUGAAGGACUAUCAUGGGUCAUGGAUGUGUGAAAUAGAUGUGGAUCAUGUAGGAUCACAAAUGAACAGAACAGGCAAAAAAAGUUAUGUGUACAUAUGGCAAAAAAGUAGUAAUGAUAAAAAAACUGAAGAUGACACAGAAAACAUACAGAAAGAACAUGAAAGUCUUGAAAAGCAGAGUCCUAAAGUGGUACCCCAAAAUAAUCUAAGCAAGGGAUGGCUUGAAGCUUCCAUAGAAAUGCUCAAAAAAAGAGAUUCUAAAUCAGCCGAAGAAAAUGUACUGGGAUGGCUUCAAGAAUCCAUGGACAGACUCAAACAGAAAGGGUCUGAAGCAUCAACACAAAGUUUGGAAGAAUGGCUUACAAAAUCCUUUAACAAUCUUGAGAAGGAAUGUUCCGAAACUUCCAGACAGGAUGUGAAAGAAUGGCUUGAAGUAUCCAUAAGUUACCUCAAAGAAGAAGGGCCUGACACAUCCCAUAUGAACAUCGAGGAAUGGCUUGAAGCAUCCAUGAAAAGCAUACAAGACCUUCAACAGCAAAAUUAUGAAGCAUCCAAAAUGAAUAUGGAAGCAAAUUGUGAGGAGGUGGUGCCAGUGCCUCUAUGUUCCAAACAGUGUAUAAAGACCGGAUGGCUUCAAGAAUCCCUGGAGAAUCUCAAAACAAGAGGCUCUAAAUCAUCCAGAGAGAAUGUGCAUCAAUGGCUUCAAGAAUCACUUAAAAGUCUUAAAGAGCAAGCUUCUGAAGUACCCCAAAAGAGCCUGCAGGAGUGGCUUAGUGAAUCCAUCAGGAAUCUUCAAGACACAGGUCUUGAAACAUUCAGGCAGGAUGUGAAGAUAUGGCUUGAAACUUCCAUUAAAAAUUUCCAAGAGGAAGGGCCUGAAACAUAUUGUUUAAGUGUGCAAGAAUGGCUUGAGGAAUCUUUGAAAAGCCUGCAAGAAGUAUCAAAACAGGAUGUACAGGGAUUGCCUAGACCAUCCAUGGAAACCCCCCUACAGAAUGGUUCUGUAGCAUCUAUAAAAGGCCUCAAGAAAGGAAGCACAGGUGCAUCUCAUAUAACUGUGCAGGAUCAAAGUAUCAUGGAAAAUCAUGAAAAAUCUAGACUGAAUGUGGCAAACUGGCUUCAAGAAUCCUUAAAGAGCCUCAUAGAUGAAGGUCCUUUGGCAUCCAGGCAGAAUGUGCAGGAAUGGCUUGAAGAAUCUUUGAAAAGUGUGGAUGAUGAAUAUCCUGAGGCAUCAAGAAAGGAUUUGAGGGAAUGGCUUGAAGCAUCCAUAAAGAGUUUCCAAGAAGGAGGUCCAGAAGUACCUGGGCAGAACUUGCAGGAUUUCCUAAAGGCAUCAAUUAUGGACAUUAUAGAGGAAGAACCUGAAUCAUGUGACCACAGUGUGAAAGAAUGGCUUGAAAAAUCCAUAAAAAGUGUUAACGAGGCAGCCUCCAGAAUAAAGGUACAAAAAUGGCUUGAAGGAUCAAUGAAAACUCUUGAAGAGGCAGGAGCUGACAUAUCCCAACAGAACCUUGAACAAUGGCUUGAAACAUCCAUGCAAAAUCUCAAUGGGAGAUGCUCUGAAACAUCUAAACAUGAAGUGAAAGAAUGGCUUGAGGCAUCUCUAAGGAACCUCCAACAGCAAGGUCUUGAUGCAUCUAAAGUAAAUUUAAAAGAAUGGCUUGAGGCAUCUGUAACGAGUCUUAGAAAGCAAGGUCCUAAAGAAUCCAUAACAGAUGUGCAGGAAUGGCUUGAAGAAUCCAUACAGAGUCUUAAGCAGGAAGCAUGCAGACUAAAUGUUGAAGAAUGGCUUUCAGAAUCCCUGGAAUACCUCCAGAAAGAAGAUCCUGAAGCACUGAAAGAGGAUGUGAAGGAAUGGCUUGAAGAUUCCCUCGCAAACCUUCAUGAAAUAUGUCCUGAAGCAUCUAGACAGGCUGUAAAGAGAUGGCUUAAAACAUCCAUGAAGGGUCUCCAUGAGGUACCCAAAGAGGACCUUCAGAACUUCUUAAUGACAUCGAUGAGCGAUCUCAGAUUGAAAAGUCUUGCAGCAUCUAGAAAAAACAAUAUGGACUGGCUUAAAGUGCCAGAGUGCUUAGUGGAAUCUAGAGAUACCUUAGAGAAAAUAAAGCACAACUUAGCUAGAAGAAAAGUAUACUCGGCACAGCAUGAUGCCUUCGGACCCAAGAAAACCCAAACAAACUUUGAGCGAGAAGAACCUGCUGUGCCCCAGCUAAUCAUUUUUCAACCAAAACAGGCUUUAACCAGGCUAUGGAACAUCAUCUUAUGGUACAGGACUCACCCCUUGAAAUUCUUCAAUCACCUUCUGUGCAUUCUCAUUCCCUUCAUGCUGCUGGUUGCCGUCUACAAAUAUUACCAGCAGUGCUGUAUAACCUGCUUAUUCCAGCGUGGCCUUAGACCUCACUAACCAUACCAGCUCUUGGCAGCAUCUUGAAAAUACAGAGGGAUUUUGUUAUAUUUCAUCUGGAAUUGCAGUUUUGGAAAAUAAUACCUUCUUACAAGAUUACAUAUGGGAUAAUAGCAUUUUGUUCUUCUUUCCCUAAUCGCAACGGUUACACAUCUUGACAGAAUCUAAGACCUUUGUCUAGAACAGUAGAUGGAUGGAGUUCCCGCAGUACUGCGCUGAUGCAGGUAUUUUAAUAAUUAGGGGGAGAAUUUUGAUGAUAUUUUACAUUUUCUCUACAACCUACAUUUGAACCCAUAAGCAAAUUCAAAAAUGUAUAUGAAUAAUUUGACCAUUCUCACCAGAUUAGUCAUAAACAUGUUCAAACAUAGGUCCAGCUACAUUUUAACAUCACCUAAAUCUAGAAGAGCUUAACCAGAUUUAAUGUGUUCCCUUCUAAUCUCCUAGAAGGGAGACUUCAAGACAUACCCUAUUCUGAUCAUUUAUGUCCUUGCGAUGGCGGUGGAGUAGAAACAGUGAGGCAUGUUGUCUUAUACAGUACUGUCAUUUCUAUCGAGAUCUCCACAGGGAUAUUCUCUCCCCUAUUUUUCAAAACUUUCCAGGGAGAUUCGACAAAUUUUAUAUUCUUUUGCUGCUCUCGGAUAAGUUUUCUUACAUUAGUAGUAAAGUGGCCAAAUACUCUGCUGCCGCAAUAGCUUGCCGCAGUCUCCUGACCACAUAAGGUCUUCAAGUGCCCCCACCCUUGUUAGAGAUGUCUUGUUUAACUUGCUUUCUAGGAGAGUUGGGGUGGUAUACAGAUGGUUAUAUGUGUCUCCUAAUUUCAUCCUAUACCACGUGACUGCUGUGAUGUUUUAAAAGCUUUUACAUCCUUCAGUGCUGCUGGCUAACUCAAAACGUCUUUUUUAACUUUAAUGUUGUAAAAGAGCCAGAGGGUACAUUGAUGGUGUUAUGUCUUGACCAAUGUCUCUGAUAUUAUGUGAUUUUAUCUAAAUUAUGUAUUCUUAUCUUCCUGGUCACUAGCCGUAAUAAAUUAUUAUUAUUACACUUUAUCUUGUUUAAG